Gymnodraco acuticeps is the source of this 528-nucleotide long non-coding RNA. RefSeq lists it as uncharacterized. NCBI's taxonomy places the organism in Eukaryota, Metazoa, Chordata, Actinopteri, Perciformes, Bathydraconidae. The transcript has 3 exons. The record is from RefSeq and is a predicted model, not a curated record.
CUUGCAGAGAGUGAAAGCAUGUGAGGACUGAGGGAUGCUAGUACUUAGCCUACAUACGUGUGUUGUACCAUGUUUCAACGACCAACAAAGUCAGGCUCUAAGAAAAGAAGAGAAAGGAGAGAAAGACAAGAGAGAGGGACUAAAGGGCGACAGUAUGUCACCCAGUUUUUCACAAGAAAAGGUCCAACAGAUCCAUCUUUAGGCUCAGCAGCCCUGUAAGGCUGAACCUGAACCAGCUUUUCUCCCAACUGAAGGAGUCUGGAGGAUGUCCCACUUACAGAAGACACCAGGGUUUUAUUGUGGCAGCCCAUCCAGGUCCAGUAGCACCACCAGGGACUCCCUGCAGCUUAACAUAUACAUUACAAAUAUUUAACAGGAUCUAAUGUUAUGCAUUUUAAUAAUUUCUGUCCAUUUAAGGCUGUUUAAGGAAGGACCCGCAGCCAUCCCAUCAUUCCACAAAUGAUUUCUGUAUUUCAUUUUGUAAAUAAUGGUAAUGACCUCAGUAAAUCAAAUAAAGAAUGAAUUCAA